AGGGCGCAUGGUGAAUGCCUUGGCACUAGGAGCCGAUGAAGGACGGGACUAACACCGAUAUGCUUCGGGGAGCUGUACGUAAGCUAUGAUCCGGAGAUUUCCGAAUGGGGCAACCCAGCAGUUUUAAUCAACUGUUACCACUAGAUGAAUUCAUAGUCUAGUUGGAGGUAAACGCUGUGAACUGAAACAUCUCAUUAGCAGCAGGAAUAUAAAGAAAUUUCGAUUCCCCAAGUAGCGGCGAGCGAACGGGGAACAGCCCAAACCAAAGUGCUUGCACUUUGGGGUUGUAGGACUGAACAUUUGAGUUACCAAAGAACUUGAUAGUCGAAGGAUUUGGGAAAAUCCGCCAUAGAUGGUGAUAGCCCAGUAGAUUAAAUCAAAUUCUCUCAGUUCAGGAUCCUGAGUACGGCGGAACACGUGAAAUUCCGUCGGAAUCCGGGAGGACCAUCUCCCAAGGCUAAAUACUACCUAGUGACCGAUAGUGAACCAGUACCGUGAGGGAAAGGUGAAAAGCACCCCGGGAGGGGAGUGAAAUAGUUCCUGAAACCAUGUGCCUACAAUAAGUCAGAGCGCGUUAAUGCGUGAUGGCGUGCCUUUUGUAGAAUGAACCGGCGAGUUAUGAUCCCGUGCAAGGUUAAGACUAAAAAGUCGGAGCCGUAGCGAAAGCGAGUCUGAAAUGGGCGAUUUGAGUACGAGGUUAUAGACCCGAAACCAGGUGACCUAUCCAUGUCCAGGUUGAAGGUGCGGUAAAACGCACUGGAGGACCGAACCCGUGUAAGUUGAAAAUUGCUGGGAUGAGGUGUGGAUAGCGGUGAAAUUCCAAACGAACUUGGAGAUAGCUGGUUCUCUCCGAAAUAGCUUUAGGGCUAGCCUCGGAUUAAGGAUCAUGGAGGUAGAGCACUAUUUGGACUAGGGGCCCGUCUUGGGUUACUGAAUUCAGAUAAACUCCGAAUGCCAUUGAUUCAUGUCCGGGAGUCAGACGAUGAGUGAUAAGAUCCACCGUCGAAAGGGGAACAGCCCAGACCAUCAGUUAAGGUCCCUAAAUGUAUGCUAAGUGGAAAAGGAUGUGGAGUUGCAUAGACAACUAGGAUGUUGGCUCAGAAGCAGCCACCAUUUAAAGAGUGCGUAAUAGCUCACUAGUCGAGUGAUCCUGCGCCGAAAAUGUACCGGGGCUAAGCAUACUACCGAAACCAUGGAUGCGACCAUUAGGUCGCGUGAUAGGAGAGCGUUCUAAGGGCGGUGAAGCAAGAUCGUGAGGACUUGUGGAGCGCUUAGAAGUGAGAAUGCCGGUAUGAGUAGCGAAAGAUAGGUGAGAAUCCUAUCCACCGAAUGACUAAGGUUUCCUGGGGAAGGCUCGUCCUCCCAGGGUUAGUCGGGACCUAAGUCGAGGCCGAGAGGCGUAGACGAUGGAUAACAGGUUGAGAUUCCUGUACUAGUUAAGUGCGUUUGAGCAAUGGAGGGACGCAGGAGGCUAAGAUGUGCAUUCUGUUGGAUUAGAAUGUCCAAGCAGUAAGUCUUGUGGAGAGUCAAAUGCUUUUCACUUUAAGGACAAGCUGUGAUGGGGAGCGAAAUUUAGUAGCGAAGCGUCUGAUGUCACACUGCCGAGAAAAGCUUCUAGUGAGUACUUAACUACCCGUACCGCAAACCGACACAGGUAGUCGAGGAGAGAAUCCUAAGGUGAGCGAGUGAACUCUCGUUAAGGAACUCGGCAAAAUGACCCCGUAACUUCGGGAGAAGGGGUGCUGAUCGCAAGAUCAGCCGCAGUGAAUAGGCCCAGGCGACUGUUUAUCAAAAACACAGGUCUCUGCAAAAUCGUAAGAUGACGUAUAGGGGCUGACGCCUGCCCGGUGCUGGAAGGUUAAAAGGAUGGGUUAGCUUCGGCGAAGCUCAGAAUUGAAGCCCCAGUAAACGGCGGCCGUAACUAUAACGGUCCUAAGGUAGCGAAAUUCCUUGUCGGGUAAGUUCCGACCCGCACGAAAGGCGUAACGAUCUGGGCACUGUCUCAACGAGAGACUCGGUGAAAUUAUAUUGUCCGUGAAGAUGCGGACUACCCGCGACAGGACGGAAAGACCCCAUGGAGCUUUACUGUAGCUUGAUAUUGAGUGUUUGUACAGCUUGUACAGGAUAGGUAGGAGCCAUAGAAACCGGAACGCUAGUUUCGGUGGAGGCGUUGGUGGGAUACUACCCUCGCUGUAUGACCACUCUAACCCGCACCACUAAUCGUGGUGGGAGACAGUGUCAGGUGGGCAGUUUGACUGGGGCGGUCGCCUCCUAAAAAGUAACGGAGGCGCCCAAAGGUUCCCUCAGAAUGGUUGGAAAUCAUUCGCAGAGUGUAAAGGCACAAGGGAGCUUGACUGCGAGACAGACAGGUCGAGCAGGGACGAAAGUCGGGCUUAGUGAUCCGGUGGUACCGUAUGGAAGGGCCAUCGCUCAACGGAUAAAAGCUACCCUGGGGAUAACAGGCUUAUCUCCCCCAAGAGUCCACAUCGACGGGGAGGUUUGGCACCUCGAUGUCGGCUCAUCGCAUCCUGGGGCUGUAGUCGGUCCCAAGGGUUGGGCUGUUCGCCCAUUAAAGCGGUACGCGAGCUGGGUUCAGAACGUCGUGAGACAGUUCGGUCCCUAUCCGUCGCGGGCGUAGGAAAUUUGAGAGGACCUGUCCUUAGUACGAGAGGACCGGGAUGGACAUACCUCUGGUGUACCAGUUGUGCCGCCAGGCGCAUCGCUGGGUAGCUACGUAUGGAUGUGAUAAACGCUGAAAGCAUCUAAGUGUGAAACACACCUCGAGAUGAGAUUUCCCAUUCCUUUAU
RNAcentral lists this ribosomal RNA (2807 nucleotides) under Lactiplantibacillus pentosus MP-10. RNAcentral's name for it is "bacterial LSU rRNA". It matches the Rfam family "Bacterial large subunit ribosomal RNA". The record is from RNAcentral. Lineage: Bacteria; Bacillati; Bacillota; Bacilli; Lactobacillales; Lactobacillaceae.